UACAUAGAGGCUAAUGAAAGGGUUGUGAAGCUACCCUUCAUUUGAAAACCAUCUAUAUGUUAUAACAGAAAGGAAAAGGACUAUAAGAAGGGAGCAAGUGCUGGUGCUCACCUUCAUCUCCUUUAAAAACUCUUUCUUCUGAAAGCACAACAUGGAACUAAUAUAUGUCUAAGGAGACAAUUGGAACUUUUCAUUUGAGCAACCCAUCUUUCGGUUCCCAACAUGAUUUGAGAAACUUAUAACUCAG
This 247-nucleotide unclassified non-coding RNA is filed under the name Hevea brasiliensis (rubber tree). The record is from RNAcentral. Lineage: Eukaryota; Viridiplantae; Streptophyta; Magnoliopsida; Malpighiales; Euphorbiaceae.